Molecule: ribosomal RNA, 460 nt
Filed under: uncultured bacterium
Lineage: Bacteria
Description: partial 16S ribosomal RNA
Rfam family: Bacterial small subunit ribosomal RNA
Source: RNAcentral
CCUACGGGUGGCAGCAGGGAGGAAUAUUGGUCAAUGGACGAGAGUCUGAACCAGCCAAGUAGCGUGAAGGAUGACUGCCCUAUGGGUUGUAAACUUCUUUUAUAUGGGAAUAAAAUGUUCCACGUGUGGGCUUUUGUAUGUACCAUAUGAAUAAGGAUCGGCUAACUCCGUGCCAGCAGCCGCGGUAAUACGGAGGAUCCGAGCGUUAUCCGGAUUUAUUGGGUUUAAAGGGAGCGUAGGUGGAUUGUUAAGUCAGUUGUGAAAGUUUGCGGCUCAACCGUAAAAUUGCAGUUGAAACUGGCAGUCUUGAGUACAGUAGAGGUAGGCGGAAUUCGUGGUGUAGCGGUGAAAUGCUUAGAUAUCACGAAGAACUCCGAUUGCGAAGGCAGCUCACUGGACUGCAACUGACACUGAGGCUCGAAAGUGUGGGUAUCAAACAGGAUUAGAUACCCUGGUAGUC